CAGUGGCCCGGGCUUCCCUGGCCAGGGCCACCCACGCCGCUCCACGGGAAGACCAGCUUCCCCGUGGGCAGCAGCCCUGGGGUGCUCAGAGAGGAAUCCGGGCCAUUUGCACGGGCCAAGGCGGGGGUGGGACAGCCACAGUCUUCACAAUUUGUUUUUAAAACAAUCGGGCAGCCUUUAGACACCAGCAACAAUGUCCUGUUUAUUUGAAGAAUGAUGGAAUGUUUAACAGCAGUAUUUAUUCACAAUCUGUCUCCGUGAAAAAACAAUAUUUGGUUUCCCAGAGGCUGUGCUGGGGAGGGAAGAAUUCUGGGAAACCAAAGUUGGGUCUGAGCAGCUCUAGCCCAAACAGUCGGGAGCCGUGGCUCUCCACGGCUGCUGGCGAAUCCGGUCACAGGGCAGGGCGCGGCUGCUCGGAGAGACAUCUCCAUCACCCUGGCCCUAGGAAGUCUCCCUUGCUGAACGUCGGAGGAUUUGCAAGCAGGUGUACCCUGAACCAAGUCCCCUCAAACACUGCUCAGCGCAAGGAGCCCCGGAGAGCCUCUGAAAGUGCAGCCUCUGGUCCAGUGACUCGGCCGGGCCCAGGAGUCAGCAGGAGACGCUGGGGCUGCUGAUACAGGGGCCGCACCGGGAGGAGCCGGGCCCCCACGUCCCCUGACUGCAGGCGGCACGGCGCGGGCUCGCUCUUGCACUCUGUGUUUUCUCUCGUGUUGUGCUGUCCACACGCUGAGUGCUGGGGAACACAUCUCCGUGACUGUGACGGGUCGGCCAAGGUUGGCCAAGGUCAUGGCACACACGUGGGUGUAUGAUGAGUUCAUGCUUGCCAAGAGCUCCGGGAAGACCGACUGACCCGUCCUCACAAGGGCGUGGCUAGGACACCGUCCGAGACGGAGCGAAGGGGCUGCCAGGGACAGAUGGAGACUCAGCACGAGGAGGCUGGGAGACACCAGGAUCCCACGUGGAGGGAAGAGCUGAGGCUGGGAGGGGGCUCAGUGGGGGCCGCUGUGGGCAGGCUGCUCCCUGGGGUGGUGGUGAUCCAGCCCUGGAGAGCAGCGAGAGUCCACCCUGCUUCCGGGAGCCCUGAGUGCAGGGUCGCCACUGGACGUCGGGGCCCAGGACGGGGGCGGGGAAGGAGGAUGGUGUGGUGAGCCCGCCUCCUCCGUGUGUGACAUGGGGACAGGCCGAUGGGCAGGAACCUGGGGUUAGUGGGCUCCCUCCGGCCUGCUGUCCCCCUCUUUGAAGUCCAGUUUCCUAGCCGGGCAGCCGGGUCCUGCUGCUGGGGAGCCGUCUUCCACUGCUUUCCCAGUGCAUCAGCAGGGAGCUGGGUCAGAAACGGAGCGGCCAGGACUCAGACCGGCGCCCUGAUGGGAUGCCGGCGCGGCAGGUGACAGCCUAGCCCACUGUGCGGCAGCACCGGCCCCUCGGGUGCGCGUCUCUAAGAACACGGUGUUCUGUCACUCA
Lepus europaeus (European hare) is the source of this 1461-nucleotide long non-coding RNA. RefSeq lists it as uncharacterized. NCBI's taxonomy places the organism in Eukaryota, Metazoa, Chordata, Mammalia, Lagomorpha, Leporidae. The record is from RefSeq and is a predicted model, not a curated record. The transcript has 2 exons.